RNAcentral lists this ribosomal RNA (161 nucleotides) under Excoecaria acerifolia. Its description in RNAcentral is "5.8S ribosomal RNA". It matches the Rfam family "5.8S ribosomal RNA". Rfam says of the family: 5.8S ribosomal RNA (5.8S rRNA) is a component of the large subunit of the eukaryotic ribosome. It is transcribed by RNA polymerase I as part of the 45S precursor that also contains 18S and 28S rRNA. Lineage: Eukaryota; Viridiplantae; Streptophyta; Magnoliopsida; Malpighiales; Euphorbiaceae. The record is from RNAcentral.
AAAACGACUCUCGGCAACGGAUAUCUCGGCUCUCGCAUCGAUGAAGAACGCAGCGAAAUGCGAUACUUGGUGUGAAUUGCAGGAUCCCGCGAACCAUCGAGUCUUUGAACGCAAGUUGCGCCCGAAGCCUUUUGGCCGAGGGCACGUCUGCCUGGGUGUCA